Molecule: ribosomal RNA, 969 nt
Filed under: uncultured bacterium
Lineage: Bacteria
Description: bacterial SSU rRNA
Rfam family: Bacterial small subunit ribosomal RNA
Source: RNAcentral
UAAUACAGAGGUCUCAAGCGUUGUUCGGAUUCAUUGGGCGUAAAGGGUGCGUAGGUGGCGCGGUAAGUCGGGUGUGAAAUCUCGGAGCUUAACUCCGAAACUGCAUUCGAUACUGCCGUGCUUGAGGACUGGAGAGGAGACUGGAAUUUACGGUGUAGCGGUGAAAUGCGUAGAUAUCGUAAGGAAGACCAGUGGCGAAGGCGGGUCUCUGGACAGUUCCUGACGCUGAGGCACGAAGGCCAGGGGAGCAAACGGGAUUAGAUACCCCGGUAGUCCUGGCAGUAAACGGUGCACGUUUGGUGUGGGAGGAUUCGACCCCUUCUGCGCCGGAGCUAACGCGUUAAACGUGCCGCCUGGGGAGUACGGUCGCAAGAUUAAAACUCAAAGAAAUUGACGGGGGCCCGCACAAGCGGUGGAGUAUGUGGCUCAAUUCGAUGCAACGCGAAGAACCUUACCAGGCCUUGACAUGCAUCUCUAAGUUGGUGAAAGCCAGCGAGUCCCGAAAGGGACAAUUUGCACAGGUGCUGCAUGGCUGUCGUCAGCUCGUGUCGUGAGAUGUUGGGUUAAGUCCCGCAACGAGCGCAACCCCUGUGAACUGUUGCCACCGGCGCAAGCCCGAGCACUCUGUUCAGACUGCCCCGCUUUAACGGGGAGGAAGGUGGGGACGACCUCAAGUCAGUAUGGCCCCUUACGGCCUGGGCUGCACACGUACUACAAUGCCCAGCACAGAACGAUCCGAGACCGCAAGGUGGAGGAAAUCACUAAAACUGGGCCCAGUUCAGAUUGGAGUCUGCAACUCGACUCCAUGAAGCCGGAAUCGCUAGUAAUGGCGUAUCAGCUACGACGCCGUGAAUACGUUCCCGGGCCUUGUACACACCGCCCGUCACAUCAUGGAAGUCGCUUGUAGCCGAAGUCGGCGUGCUAACCGCAAGGAGGCAGCCGCCUACGCUAUGAGCGGUAACUGGGAUG